GGGCCCCUAGCUCAGUGGUAGAGCACGUGACUUUUAAUCACGGUGUCCUGGGUUCGAUCCCCAGGGGGCCCA
This 72-nucleotide transfer RNA is filed under the name Acidobacteriota bacterium. Its description in RNAcentral is "Acidobacteria bacterium tRNA-Lys". It matches the Rfam family "tRNA". From Rfam's summary of the family: Transfer RNA (tRNA) molecules are approximately 80 nucleotides in length. Their secondary structure includes four short double-helical elements and three loops (D, anti-codon, and T loops). Further hydrogen bonds mediate the characteristic L-shaped molecular structure. tRNAs have two regions of fundamental functional importance: the anti-codon, which is responsible for specific mRNA codon recognition, and the 3' end, to which the tRNAs corresponding amino acid is attached (by aminoacyl-tRNA synthetases). tRNAs cope with the degeneracy of the genetic code in two manners: having more than one tRNA (with a specific anti-codon) for a particular amino acid; and 'wobble' base-pairing, i.e. permitting non-standard base-pairing at the 3rd anti-codon position. Lineage: Bacteria; Pseudomonadati; Acidobacteriota. RNAcentral also lists the same sequence under 2 other names. The record is from RNAcentral.